RNAcentral lists this ribosomal RNA (265 nucleotides) under uncultured bacterium. RNAcentral's name for it is "partial 16S ribosomal RNA". It matches the Rfam family "Bacterial small subunit ribosomal RNA", at positions 793 to 1055 of the family's 1533-position model. The record is from RNAcentral.
GUCCACGCUGUAAACGAUGGGCACUAGGUGUCCGGGGUAUUGACCCCCUGGGUGCCGCAGCUAACGCAUUAAGUGCCCUGCCUGGGGAGUACGGUCGCAAGAUUAAAACUAAAAGGAAUUGACGGGGGCCCGCACAAGCGGUGGAGCAUGUGGUUCAAUUCGACGCAACGCGAAGAACCUUACCUGGGCUAGACAACGGUGGACCGUCCUAGAAAUAGGAUCUUCCCUUCGGGGACUGCCGGUUCAGGUGCUGCAUGGCUGUCGU